Non-coding RNA from Triticum aestivum (bread wheat), 135 nucleotides. The record is from Rfam. Lineage: Eukaryota; Viridiplantae; Streptophyta; Magnoliopsida; Poales; Poaceae.
CAAAUACUCCCUCCGUCAGGAAAUACUUGUCAUCAAAAUGGAUAAAAGGAAAUGUAUCUAGACAUAUUUUAGUUUUAGACACAUCUAUUUUUAUCCAUUUUGAUGACAAGUAUUUUCGGACGGAGGGAGUAGAAA